GUGGGGAAUUUUGGACAAUGGGGGAAACCCUGAUCCAGCCAUCCCGCGUGUGCGAUGAAGGCCUUCGGGUUGUAAAGCACUUUUGGCAGGAAAGAAACGUUCCGGGUUAAUACCCCGGGAAACUGACGGUACCUGCAGAAUAAGCACCGGCUAACUACGUGCCAGCAGCCGCGGUAAUACGUAGGGUGCAAGCGUUAAUCGGAAUUACUGGGCGUAAAGCGUGCGCAGGCGGUUCGGAAAGAAAGAUGUGAAAUCCCAGAGCUUAACUUUGGAACUGCAUUUUUAACUACCGAGCUAGAGUGUGUCAGAGGGAGGUGGAAUUCCGCGUGUAGCAGUGAAAUGCGUAGAUAUGCGGAGGAACACCGAUGGCGAAGGCAGCCUCCUGGGAUAACACUGACGCUCAUGCACGAAAGCGUGGGGAGCAAACAGGAUUAGAAACCCUAGUAGUCC
This 450-nucleotide ribosomal RNA is filed under the name uncultured bacterium. RNAcentral describes it as "bacterial SSU rRNA". It matches the Rfam family "Bacterial small subunit ribosomal RNA", at positions 354 to 796 of the family's 1533-position model. The record is from RNAcentral.